Molecule: non-coding RNA, 1537 nt
Organism: Microcebus murinus (gray mouse lemur)
Lineage: Eukaryota; Metazoa; Chordata; Mammalia; Primates; Cheirogaleidae
Source: RefSeq, a predicted model, not a curated record
GUCUGGAGGUCAAAUACCAGACCUGGGAAGGCUGCGUAGCAAGUGUCAAGGCGUUGAGGUAGUUAUUUUUGUUCCAAGCAACUCCAGAUGGGAGAAAGUCAACCCACGCAGUCUGGAGAGGAUACUAGUCCUUCAAAAAGAGACUUCACAAGAAGCUACAGAGCUGUCCAGGCCUAAUGAGGUUACCCCAGUGGAAACUGCCCUUGAAAUGUGACUCCUGCGUUAUGGGCCAAUGAGCAGAAAAGAAGUACACCCACUAAGUGGAGACUGGUGUUAGACAGUUGUCUCCGGAAACACUUCAGCAGAGGCAAACUGGGGGAUGUGUUCCGCCAUGACUGACACUCCCUGUCAUGGGCUUUAAUUUUAUUUCACUUCUGAGAGAAAAGUUGACACAGGCUGCACCUGUGUCAGACUGCCAACACCCUUCAGCGUAGAGGUGUAGCUCUUCAUCUGCUGUGUGCGUUCCGAUGCCUUCAGAAGCAACAUUUUCUCUUGGUGGGUCCCUUUGGAAACAUCAAUGACUAAAAAGUUUAUUUUCUUCAGGCACAACUUUAACUGAGAAAAAUGUGUGGGCAUGGACACAGCAUCUGGCAUGCCUGACAACACAUAUGGCUUCCUUGCUUUGGUGGCGAAUCUGCACGCUUCAUUACUUUCUACAUUGGCAUGGAGACUUGGCCCAAACCCCGCAAGGAGUCUUGUCUAGUGCCCUAAAAGCUGGCCUUUUGAGGAAAUUUCCUCACAGCAUGGAUGCAGAGUAUUAUAAUACAUUCUUCUUAUUUACACACAAGCGUGCUGCCUGCCCAGAAAACAAAUGCCUAAAGCUCUUGAAUGAGCAGUGGGCAGCAUUUUCAGCUUUAGGAGAGUAGGAAAAGCUGCUUUGCAGAACCAUUUGGCAGGAAAUUCUUUCACCGCUGACCUGACUUGGAAGAAAUCAUUGGUCACCUGAAUGAAGUGAAUAUUUUCAUUCAAGGUCUUUCACUUACUAUUACGGUCAUUGCAGAAAAACUGUGAGCCCUUUUGGUCAGUUACCCCGCGUGGGGACAAUGCCUCAAACCUCACAAGGCCGAAAGAAAGCACUUUUGCAGAUCAGCAUUGAGAAUGACAGAGCCUUAUAAAUUUCUUGGUGUACCAAAUCUGAAGGCACCUAGAACAUUGGAAGAACCACUUGAGGGUUACUGACACUCAGACCAUCUUCAAAUUUAAAGACGGAUUCAUAAAUUCUUUCCUCAUUGACCCAGCUUCAUUGACUUAAGGACAAAAGAAAACAGGUGACAUGAAUUUAAUCUAAAAAUCUUGGAGAACUUGGUGUUUACUGACAUAACCCCACUCUAACUUGGCAAAGUGAGCAAUGGGAAUGUUAAUUUUUGUCUUUUCUAAUGCAUUUUUGGGGUUCAGGGCUUUUGACCCUUGGUGCAAUUCAAAUGGAAAUUUAAAAUUGAUUUGAUAUUGAUAUUAAAGACUGCUCCACAAUUGCAAUUUUUUAUUCAAGCCAAGCACUUAUAGUAUUCUCACUAGAAUGUGAUUUUGAGAAGAAUUA